Arachis ipaensis is the source of this 966-nucleotide non-coding RNA. Lineage: Eukaryota; Viridiplantae; Streptophyta; Magnoliopsida; Fabales; Fabaceae. The record is from RefSeq and is a predicted model, not a curated record.
UGGAGCUCAUCGCCGGUGCUCUCACUCUCUCCCCCAAUAACACUCGUUAGUCAACCUUGUUCCAACCCUCUCUAGCAACCCCUCCGUAGGUGCCACCUCUGCGGUGUUCCCUGCAUCGGCGCUCCUUCCGUUUCUCCUGUAAACACCUAUCCCUCCUUCGGCGGUGACUCACUCUGGUAAGGCCUCCCUCGGCGCUCACUCUCUAUCGCAAACCCUCCGUCGACGCUCACUCUCUCUCGCAAACCCUCAAUCGUCACUCCUCCCUCCAUGGUUUGGCACCCGCCGAAUUGCUCUCUCCCUCUCUGAAGUCGUCGCGCCGCCGUCUCCAUCUCCGUCACUCGUCGCACCUCCGUCAGCCACGUUCAGCGUUCGCAGCACCGUGGCUAAAAGAUAUCAAUUAUUUCUUCAGGAAUUGAAACAACAAGGGAUACAAGAAGAAAGGCUGCAGCUGCUUGUUAAUGUUACUGGAGCUUUUAGGCCUGGAGUGUUGACAGCAUUGGUUGGAGUAAGCGGGGCUGGAAAAACCACGCUAAUGGAUGUCUUGGCUAGAAGAAAACUGGAGGUGUUGUUAAGCUGCUCUGCUGGCCGUGCCGGGAAACCUGCAGUUAGAUGGACUAAGAUACAAAGCUGGUUUGAGGAUAGGCUCCAAGACUUACCAGAUGACCCUAAUAAUGAAUUGAUGAUUCCCGAAGACCCUGAAUGUAAUAAGGAAGGAUUCAAUCGCAAGUGGAAUCCCUUUGGAAGAUUUUGGACAUGGUCAUCCUGAUCCUAAUCUAACGGCUGUUUUAGCUUGGCUUUCUAUUAUUGCGCACCGUAACAAAGAUAAGAAGGCAGGGGAGAAAUUGAUCUGUGGCUGAUGUUGUGAAGGAACACUGGGCAACUUAUGGAAGAAAUUUCUUUUCUAGAUAUGACUAUGAGGAAUGUGAAUCUGAAGGUGCCAAUAAAAUGGUAGCAUACCUACGAGAG